GUGAAUCAUCGAAUCUUUGAACGCACAUUGCGCCCAUUGGUAUUCCGAUGGGCAUGCCUGUUCGAGCGUCAUUAUCCUCCCUCAAACCUCGUGUUUGGUGUUGGACCGCGUUGGUCGAGCGACCAACUGGUCUCAAAGACAAUGACGGCGUCCGUGGGACCCUCGGUGCAACGAGCUUCUAAGGAGCACGCGUCGAGUUUCAAGGACCCUCCGGGCCGGUCUUGACCUCUAUCUUCUCAAGGUUGACCUCGGAUCAGGUAGGAAUACCCGCUGAACUUAAGCAUAUCAAUAAGCGGAGGA
This 300-nucleotide unclassified non-coding RNA is filed under the name Chaetothyriales sp. RNAcentral's name for it is "partial contains 5.8S ribosomal RNA, internal transcribed spacer 2, and large subunit ribosomal RNA". The stretch from base 1 to 71 matches the Rfam family "5.8S ribosomal RNA", at positions 84 to 154 of the family's 154-position model. The record is from RNAcentral. Lineage: Eukaryota; Fungi; Ascomycota; Eurotiomycetes; Chaetothyriales.